GCCUGGCUGGCUCAGUCAGAGGCUCGAGCAUGUGACUCUUGAUCUUGGGGUCAUGAGUUCGAGUCCCAUGUUGGGUA
This 77-nucleotide transfer RNA is filed under the name Canis lupus familiaris (dog). It matches the Rfam family "tRNA". From Rfam's summary of the family: Transfer RNA (tRNA) molecules are approximately 80 nucleotides in length. Their secondary structure includes four short double-helical elements and three loops (D, anti-codon, and T loops). RNAcentral also lists the same sequence under 1 other name. The record is from Rfam by way of RNAcentral. Lineage: Eukaryota; Metazoa; Chordata; Mammalia; Carnivora; Canidae.